GAUGAACGCUGGCGGCGUGCUUAACACAUGCAAGUCGAACGGAAAGGCCCAAGCUUGCUUGGGUACUCGAGUGGCGAACGGGUGAGUAACACGUGGGUGAUCUGCCCUGCACUUCGGGAUAAGCCUGGGAAACUGGGUCUAAUACCGGAUAGGACCACAUUUUGGAUGGUGUGGUGGAAAGUUUUUCGGUGUGGGAUGAGCUCGCGGCCUAUCAGCUUGUUGGUGGGGUAAUGGCCUACCAAGGCGUCGACGGGUAGCCGGCCUGAGAGGGUGUACGGCCACAUUGGGACUGAGAUACGGCCCAGACUCCUACGGGAGGCAGCAGGGGGGAAUAUUGCACAAUGGGCGCAAGCCUGAUGCAGCGACGCCGCGUGGGGGAUGACGGCCUUCGGGUUGUAAACUCCUUUCGCUAGGGACGAAGCGUUAUGUGACGGUACCUGGAGAAGAAGCACCGGCUAACUACGUG
RNAcentral lists this ribosomal RNA (466 nucleotides) under uncultured bacterium. Its description in RNAcentral is "partial 16S ribosomal RNA". It matches the Rfam family "Bacterial small subunit ribosomal RNA", at positions 28 to 507 of the family's 1533-position model. The record is from RNAcentral.